GCCCGGCUGGCUCAUCAGAAGAGCAUGGGACUCUUGAUCUCGGAGUUGUGAGUUCAAGCCUCACGUUGGGUG
Molecule: transfer RNA, 72 nt
Filed under: Felis catus (domestic cat)
Lineage: Eukaryota; Metazoa; Chordata; Mammalia; Carnivora; Felidae
Rfam family: tRNA
About the family: Transfer RNA (tRNA) molecules are approximately 80 nucleotides in length.
Source: Rfam by way of RNAcentral